Molecule: ribosomal RNA, 468 nt
Filed under: uncultured bacterium
Lineage: Bacteria
Description: partial 16S ribosomal RNA
Rfam family: Bacterial small subunit ribosomal RNA
Source: RNAcentral
GACGAACGCUGGCGGCGUGCUUAACACAUGCAAGUCGAACGGAAAGGCCCUGCUUUUGUGGGGUGCUCGAGUGGCGAACGGGUGAGUAACACGUGAGUAACCUGCCCUUGACUUUGGGAUAACUUCAGGAAACUGGGGCUAAUACCGGAUAGGAGCUCCUGCUGCAUGGUGGGGGUUGGAAAGUUUCGGCGGUUGGGGCUGGACUCGCGGCUUAUCAGCUUGUUGGUGGGGUAGUGGCUUACCAAGGCUUUGACGGGUAGCCGGCCUGAGAGGGUGACCGGCCACAUUGGGACUGAGAGACGGCCCAGACUCCUACGGGAGGCAGCAGGGGGGAAUAUUGCACAAUGGGCGGAAGCCUGAUGCAGCAACGCCGCGUGCGGGAUGACGGCCUUCGGGUUGUAAACCGCUUUCGCCUGUGACGAAGCGUGAGUGACGGUAAUGGGUAAAGAAGCACCGGCUAACUACGUG